Molecule: RNA transcript, 2529 nt
Organism: Lepidothrix coronata (blue-crowned manakin)
Lineage: Eukaryota; Metazoa; Chordata; Aves; Passeriformes; Pipridae
Gene: PCGF6
Gene name: polycomb group ring finger 6
Exons: 11
Source: RefSeq, a predicted model, not a curated record
UGGUGUCCCUGCCCAUGGCAGAGGGUUGGAACUGGGUGAUCUUUAAGGUCCCUUCCAUUUCAUUAUGUUACAGAAUUAAAACCUUAUUUCGAAUGAAACUGGUAUCUUGUGAUUGACGUUAUUUUGUGACAAAUUAAACGUGUGCCAUCGCUUCACUAGAGAGUCAAUUGAAAAAAACUAAGAAAAAGAACCCUCGGGCUAUAAAAACUGCAGACCAGUUGUGACUUAGCGCAUGCGUGGUGGCUCUGUCCCGUGUCCGCUUUGACUACAUUUCCCAGCGUGCCCCGCGGCGUCCCCGCGCAUGCUCCCGGCGCCGCGGAGAGACCCGCGGUGAUCGCGGUCCGUGGACAUGGAGGAGGGCGCUGGGAGCGGGGUCUCGGGGCCGUCGAGCGCGGAUGGAGCGGGAGCGGGAGCGGGAGCGGGAGCGGGAGCGGGAGCAGGAGCAGGAGCAGGCCCGGCCCCGGCCGAUGAGGACCGGGACAUGGAGGGGGCCCCCAGCUGCUCGGGGUCGCGCUCCGUCCCCUUCGAGUUCCAGCGGAGCCGCUCGGAGUCCACCGGCGAUGAGGACGACGACGACGACGAAGACGACGACGAGGAGGAAGAGGAGCUGGAGGGGGACGCCGGGGCUCGGUUCGGGACGGAUGACGGGGAGCACGACUCGGGCGACGACCGGGAGCGUAUGAUAAACCUCACAGAGUUGACCCCUUAUAUCCUGUGUUCCAUCUGCAAAGGUUACUUUAUUGAUGCUACAACUAUUACAGAAUGUCUGCACACCUUUUGUAAAAGCUGCCUUGUGAGACACUUCUACUAUAGCAACAGAUGUCCAAAAUGCAAUAUUGUUGUACAUCAGACACAGCCCCUUUAUAAUAUCAGACUGGACCGGCAACUGCAAGACAUAGUCUAUAAAUUAGUUGUCAAUCUUGAGGAAAGAGAGAAAAAACAAAUGCAUGACUUCUAUAAAGAAAGAGGAUUAGAAGUGCCCAAACCAGCUGUCCCACAGCCAGUUCCAACGAGCAGAGGAAGACCUCGUAAGGUUCUAGGCUCAGUGUUCCAGAUUCCACCAGAACUUGACAUCUCCAUACUUCUGGAGUUUAUUGGAGCUAACGAAGGCACAGGGAAUUUUAAGCCUUUGGAAAAGAAGUUUGUACGUGUUUCUGGGGAGGCAACAAUUGGACAUGUGGAGAAAUUCCUCAGAAGAAAAAUGGAUCUGGACCCUGCUUGUCAGGUGGACAUAAUAUGUGGUGAUCACCUGCUGGAGCACUACCAGACACUGAGGGAAAUUCGUCAAGUCAUAGGAGAGAGCGCAGUGCAGCUGCUGGUUAUUUUCAUUUGUCUGAAACUGGGCCUUCUCAGAGUUCUGCAUCACUGAUGGAUAUAAUGAGCUCACACAUGGGAAAAGCUAAAAGGAGUGCCUUCCGUGAUGUCCUUGGCCCUUGGCACAGAGGAUGGUUUGCUUGUACUGCACUAUGGCCUGGUGGUAUCUCCGCUAACUUAAAGAUUGCUGGAAUAUUACAAGGCAAAAGAAUCGGAAGAGUCAUGGCGCUUCUUCACUGCUGUUUCUCACCAAAGAAGCCAGCGUAUUUCCUGUGGCAGGAAGCAAGUUAAAGGAACUACCACUAACUGCUGUGUGAUCGUAGUGUAACAUCUGACUUCACCACUGUAAAAAAUUGCAGCUUCUGUAAGUACAGCUGUAGAUGUUGGUAUGCUUCAUGUUACAAAUUACUGUCUUCAAAUUUCACUCAGCUCAGGGAAUUUAAAUGCUCAGAGUAGCUGCAUUUUUUUUACUUUCUAAAAACCACAAGAUUUCACAGGGUUAACGGCCUUUUUUUCCUCUAAGCUCUGAGAUAUCUCUUGCUUUCUAAGUGUCUAGCUAGAACAGUGCUCUCAGGGAUGAUCUUCAGUGAGCAGUAUAUCUUCAGUGUAUUUUUGGGAGGAGACAGUGAGUUGCCUAAAAAAAUGUGUACUGUGAUCAUCUGUCUUCAUAUGUGAUUUGGGGGUAGGAAGGAAACUAGAAAUGCAGACCAAAAUAGGUAGAAAACGAUGCAACAUAAGCAUUGGGUUUUUUGAGAAGUAGCAUUAAAUUUAGUUGUUUUUCUUGAAGAAAGACAAUUUUGUUUGCACUGGAAGUAUAUUUGCUGGUAGUUUGGCUUAUACCAAAUGGUGGAUCAUGCAUCUCUAGUCUUAAUGGAGAUGCGCUGGCUGUAAGCUGGUUAAACUAUGCAUGAAAAAAAAAAGUAGCACCUCUUUCUACCUGCUUGCUGUGUGUAAAGUGAUCACUGUCGGCGUGAUUCUGCUAUCAUGAAUCUGUCAACUGGCUUGACUGUCAGGAGCAUAAAUCCAUUCACUUUAGCACAUACCUCUCUAGCAGCUGUGAAAAUGGUUGCUUUUUCCACUCUUUUUAAUGUGUUUUAGUGCAUCGCAGUGGAGAGCAGGGUUGAGUAAUGUAAUACUUGCCUGUUACUACCAGAUGUGCAGAGGAUUUUAGGUAACUUUAACAUAUUAAAAUACUAUGGUUUGUGACAACUCUAA